CCAAGAACUACUAAAAAUCCGUUGAGAAUCUGCGGGGACCCACAGGUUGUGUUAUUAUUGCAUUGGUGUAUAUAUUGUGAUGAUGUCUGUGUUUGUAACAGCAAAGAAACAUUGACUUAGGGUUGACUUAUGACUGAAUCGUUGGUGUUCCAGCGAUUCAGGUUUCGUCCCACUGGUGAUUCAUUGAAGGAAACCUUAGUUUUCUUAUAGGUGAUGAAGAUGUUUGCAUCAGGAAGUACACAUUGUACAGAUUUUAGAUGUCAGAAGAGGCUACUGGGAACAGGCUUGCCAGCAAUAGAGAAGACUCAGGAGCCCUAGAAGCCAGUAUUUAUUGAGCAUGUUCUGUAUGCACUGCUUUAUAUCUCUCUUAAUUGUUCUUAAUUGUCAUCUCAAACAUGUGUUUGUACUGAUCUAGGCAGAUGGAAGUAGUCAAUAAAAUACACUAAGUUCCUACCCUGAGGAAAAAAAUCUGCCACAAUGUCAGAUAAGUACUAGGGAAAAAAAAAAAAGAAAGCAGAUAGCAUGGCUAGAGAAAUGUGAUGUAUGUUGGUGGAAGGUGCUGUGUAUAAUAGGAUGGGUCAGAGAAGACAUCUCUGAGUAGGUGACAUUUUAGAGACUGUGUGAAGUGAGAGAUUGGGCCCUAUAGACAUCUGGGAAGAGAUUAUUCUAGGAAAAGGUAACAAGAACAAAGGUUCUGAUGAAUAAAUGAGAAGGAAUAGGAUAUAUUAGAGUAUAUGAAGAAGUCGUUUGGUUUAAAACUAACUCUGCCUGACCUUGUUUUUCCAAAAAGUUGACAUGGCCUGUUGAGCAUGCAUUGUAUCUCUACUUUAAACAUUUUAUAAUUUCUCAAAGACAAGUAUGAUGCCCUUAAAGAUAGGGAUUUAGAUUCCCCCAUAUUGACGUUUCUUUAAAGAUAAGCAUCUCUUCCUAGAACCUAAGGAUUAGUUACUGACCUGCUGUGUUCACCUUGUGUGCACUGACCUGCCGUGCUGGUAAAAGUAUCCUGUGACUGUUGUAAAAAGGACAUUCUUGUCAUGUGUGGCGUAUGCACUUUGUUCCAAGAUGGUAUAUAACCACUCUGUAUAGCCGAAUUCCUUGGGAAAGGGAGCCACCCAGCUAUAGUCCUCAGACCUGGCUCGUAUAAUAAACUCACCCUGAUUUUGAUUUAUAGAUCGAUUAUGGAUUGCUUGCACCAAAAGUUCUGAGGUUGGAAUGUAUUUGUCACCUUACAUGACACUGCUUUUACUCCAAGACCAGGGAAAAAGAUGCACCUUCAAGAAAAAGAUGAAUGUGGGGUUACAUGGCCUGAAAACAUUCAUAGACACCUAGAGCAAGCAGGGGAGACCCAUGAAGAUACCUUUUGAUCUGAAGUGGGUUUGUAACUUAACUUACAUGUUUGGUACUCAACUUGCAGGAUUCACGUCUCAGAGUUCUUCAGUGGUAUUUCCACCAUCCCUAAUCUCAAUCAUGGCCACAAAGUAACUUUAGUGCCUCC
RNAcentral lists this long non-coding RNA (1495 nucleotides) under Equus caballus (horse). RNAcentral's name for it is "lncRNA (ENSECAG00000051202.1)". The record is from RNAcentral. Lineage: Eukaryota; Metazoa; Chordata; Mammalia; Perissodactyla; Equidae.